GGAGAAGUGUGGGUGAGUGACUCACUUCUGAGUGGAGAGUGUUCCACAGAGAAGGACAAUAGCAGAAGAGGGUCUCUUCCUGGAACCCACCAGUCAGAAUUCCUUGGAUUAGGGGGUCUGCAACAUAGCCUCAGGUGCUUCAGGCUAUUCCCUAUGCCUUUGACCAACUUCAGCUGGUAAGCCAGUUAACAGUUCUACCUACACCAGAAGCCAUCAGCAACAGUGACUCAUACUCUUAUCAUCAUUCAGUGGGACAAUAGCAAUGCAUACUUGAUGGGUCUGCAAUUGAAGAUGAUUCAAAAACUACAACUGUUUGAGAAGGGAGCAGCCAUAUUGCUGGGUCAAAUGACUAUUUCUGGAACCCCAAAUGCAGAAGACAAAAAUGAUGAUAGUCUAUGCCUACUGAAUUUCCAUCUUGCGGUUUUGCAAAGGAUUCUCCAAACGUCUGAAGGCACAUAAUUACAAAUUAAAACCCACUUUAAAUAAGAAGGCAAAAGAAAUAUAAACUCUAAUUGGAAAGUCCUGGUCUUCAACAAAGAAACAAAUUCAGAGAACACCAAUUGGGACGAGCAGGGCACAAAGUAUAGUAAGAAGGAAUGGAGGACUGGAUAUGUUUAGCCUUCAAAGCAAAGAUUUAACGCAAACAGGGACAUGUGAAAGUUGUCUUCAAAAUCUGAUAUAUGUCAUAUGGAAGACUGCCAGGACCUGCUCUCUAUCAUCUUAGAAAGCCAAACAUGAAAUAAAAUGUACAAAUUGCAAACUGGCAGAUUUUGAUUAAAUAUUGGGACAAUAUCCUAGCAAUAAAAAAAAUAGUGUUAUAGUGGAAUUAAUUACCUGCAGGAAAUGGAGCAAAGACAGACUUUGCUGAAUGAUAGGGACAUCUUGGGAAGCCAUGGACGAGUGGAUAAAAGAAAGAUCCAAAUGAAGUGUGCAACUAACUGUUUUCCCAAACCCCAGCCUUUAUAAAGUGCAUGAGUGUGAAAAUGGGGCAGAGCUUCUUUCAUUGUUUGUUUAU
Non-coding RNA from Thamnophis sirtalis, 1015 nucleotides. Lineage: Eukaryota; Metazoa; Chordata; Lepidosauria; Squamata; Natricidae. The record is from RefSeq and is a predicted model, not a curated record.